UACGAACCGUACAAACGUUAUUCGGAAUCACUGGGCUUAAAGGGUGCGUAGGCGGCCAUGUAAGUGAGGUGUGAAAUCCCUCGGCUCAACCGAGGAAUUGCGCUUCAUACUGCACGGCUUGAGGGAGACAGGGGUAAGCGGAACUGAUGGUGGAGCGGUGAAAUGCGUUGAUAUCAUCAGGAACACCGGUGGCGAAAGCGGCUUACUGGGUCUCUUCUGACGCUGAGGUACGAAAGCUAGGGUAGCGAACGGG
RNAcentral lists this ribosomal RNA (253 nucleotides) under uncultured bacterium. RNAcentral's name for it is "partial 16S ribosomal RNA". It matches the Rfam family "Bacterial small subunit ribosomal RNA", at positions 524 to 776 of the family's 1533-position model. The record is from RNAcentral.